CGCCGCUUAAAGCCAGGUGCUCAGCCCCGCCCCGCGCUGCCGAGGCCGCCCCGGGCGGGGCCCGGCCGGGAGGUGCGCGCUGACGGGACCCGGCGUCCGCAGCCCUCCCCGCACGCUCCGUUCUUUUUACCCGUCAGGAUGUUACUUGAGAAUGUGGGCGGGCAAAACAAGGGAAUUAUCCGAGAAAUUGGAGCAGGUUGGCUCUAUGAACAAUAGAACCAAUUCAGAAAAUCAACAAAGGACGUGAGUAUGCAAAAUCUAACAUUGAUCCAUCUGGAAUUAGCAGCAUAAGUGCAUUAUUUAAGAGAGGAGAGUAGCUGUGAGCUACCGGAAUAGUGCUGCUCAACUGUGGCUGCGUGUGAAUAUCACGGAGAGCACUGAGGAACCUCCGUGCCCAGAUGUCAUCAUACUGGGCGUGGUAUCUUCACCUCUCUAAGCCUCACUUACGCAACCUAUAAAAAGAGGAGAUUGGUGUGUAUGGAAAUAAAGGAAGACCAACUGGAUCAGAAAAGCAAAGGCUAAUUAUUCUGAGCUUGCUAUAGAAAUGGCGUCAGACACCAAUGCUUGCAUUUUGGCAGCAACUCAAAGGGCUUGACGUGGAGGCUUUGGCUGUGUACUCAGGAUGUAGACUCUUCACCACAGCCGGGUUCCACAUGUGCCUCUGCCCAGACUGGUGGGUUUUGUCACAUGGACAUGAGUUUUGAUGAGCAUGUCUCAGUUGAGGAUCAUCCGAGCCAAGCACACAGGCGAGGACGUGAGCCCAGGACGUUAGCAGCCUAGAUGGUCCCGGUCACAACUGUUUGCAGUGGUCACCUCAGCACACAGCACAGAUUUGCUGUUUCGUGACUGGGACAGGGACAUCAGGCGCCAUUUGGACAACCCAAAAUCUGCGAUCUGCCAGGAAAAAGAGAAGGGCAGACCCGGCCUGCCCCAUGGACGCUGCCCCGUCAGUGAAUUACCUGGAGGAGCAGUACAGAUUCUCUCCGAGGCAGGAAGCUUCCCAAGAGAAAGGGAAGAGAGAGGGAGCAGCUGCUAUGUUCCCAAACUCACAAGUCAGGACAAGAUCUCUCAUUACUUGUGUUUCGGUUAACCGUCCAGUGCCCAGGAGGGAACCAUCCUGUGCCCGAGGCUCCUGCCAGCUUCUCUCCGGUGACCUGUGGCCCCGGGGCCUCUCGGUGAGCAGGAUCUCCAGCCCCACCUGUUCUUACUGGAGCGGAACAUUCUCGGGUGAUUCACGCACGAUGAAGCCUGAGAAUCCCUGCUAGAGGACAGAAACCUGCGCUUCUCUGCGAGGCGGCUGUCGGUGCAGAGUCUCAUCACCAGAGGCCGGAAGUUAGUCAUCAGGACCGAACUGAAGGCUCCUGGUGGCUUCAGGUUCCUGUCAUGUGGUGCCAUGUAAGAUGGUGACUUAGACACGAGGGACCGUGGAGGGUGGAAAGGCUGCUGGGGCCGUGGAUACUGUGACACUGCUUCAGCAUGACAAACAGCCCUGUGUUUCUCAGUAUCCACGUGGGUGCCCGACCAGCUGGAGAAGCUGGACGUGCAUAACCAGUUCAGUCCUGACAGUCAGGUUCCCAGAAGACGAGCCGGCCACCCGGCCCUCCCGCCAGCGGCCCGAAAGGAGCUGGCGGGAGUCCAUCAUUCUCAGGGUGCCUUUGUGAGUCACGCCUGAGUCCCACGCCACCUUCCAUACAGGCUCCCACAGGGAGGGAAUCUGGAGAUGGAACGCCUGCGUGACUGAGUGUACGUGCCAGCUUUUGAAGGAUUUGCCUUCCUGGUACAAAGAUGGUUUCCUCACUGGCUUUGAUGUCACACGUGUUUGGCCCCUGACUUGGAGCCCUCUGCUCGUGAAGAGUCAGCAGAGCACUUGGUGCCGCAGCUCCGUCACUAGGGGGCAAUAUGAGUGUGUUCAUUGGUCCCCGCCACACCCUCAUAUGCCAAGGGCCCACAGCGCAGGCCAGUGGGCCUUGUUCCGAAGAACCUGACUGAAAGGUUAUGGCCGGAUUCCUUAGGGAAAUGCUCUGCUCUUUUAGAAAGGGGACUUGUUCAAAAUACAUCCUGUGGAAACACGGGAAGAAGGUGCUGGGAAUGCAGACAGUUGCAACAACUUUCCAGAACUUUGUGAAGACCAAACGGUCAUGCUCUUUAGAGGGAACCUGCACAUCCUGGUUGGGAAUCCUUUGGUCGGCAAUGGGGUGAGGGUCUGCCCCAUGCCUGGGCUUCUGUCCCCCGCCCAAGUCACUACUCACCGUGGCCGCCACCCUCUGGCCCUCAGGAGGUGUCAACAUGCCAUCCUGUAUUAGAACCCGGCCUAGCCCGGGUACACAGCCAUCCUGAGCUGACCACAGCGCAGCUCAAGGGUCACAGCAGAGACUUACAAUGCAGGGAGUGACAAGCACUCCCUAGCCUGAGGCUUGCUGUGCAAGGAAGACCACACCUGUCCUCCCCUAAUGGGACAGGAGCACAAUGUGGACAGGCCACUGCCUGUCCAUCUCCCCAGGCUGCAGUUCCUUCUGCAGGGUGGCUUGUCCCCUCCAGUCACUGGGAGUUGGAGGGUUCUGAUGAUUGAACUCGGCUUCUUCACAGCCUCGACCUGGGAGGCUUAUCUGGUAUGUGCGAGGAGCCUCGUAAAGCUUGUGUCAUGUGAGCUGUGGAAAUCAACGCCAGCAGAGUUCAGUUUCUCAUCACUGCUACUCUAAAGGGAAAACGUAGGAGGCUACAAAUAUUUAACAAGCAAGCAGCCAACCAAACAUCUAAAAAAAGAAAACCCCAAACCGAAUUCCAGAAUGAUCUGUAAGCCAAUGCUUUCAAUCGUAGAGUUUCAUGAUGAGGGGUCUCUCAGAACACGUGUCAGCCAUGCGGUGUUCAGGGUGGUGAGUUGUGGUCUGUGCGGCUUUCUCCGUGUCCAUUUGCUCACACUUUGCUUUGUCUCCCGUGCUGUCUCCACGGGGAGCUGUCUCCACAGGGAGCUGAACGCACAAAUGCUGGGUGAUGCAACCCUUAAUUCCUCUGAGCAGUGUCCGAGGUACUUUUGGAAUUAGUGUCCCUCAUGCCACCUUCUGGCCGUCAUUAAGAAAGCACCGAAAACGAAGCUGGUAGACAGAGACGACUUGAACUUGGAGCCUUGCCUUCCCAGGUCGGCUUUCCCACCCCAGCGACUACAGUGCUUCUCAGUGUGCGACCUGGGCCCAGCCGUCCCUACACAGCCAGCAUCUCCAGGGACAGGGGACCUGGGUUUGGAGCAAGAACUGGCCACUCCUUUGUCGCUAAGGUCGGAGAACCAUUGGCUUAGAGACCAGAAUUUUCCUGCCUCUGAUUCAUUAUGGAGUUUAGCUGCCUCCUCUGCCCUCCCCCAGUGCUGUCUGCAGCUACCAGUCCCCUCAGGGCUCAUGCUUAAUCGAUAAUCUGCCUUAGUGUCAGGUUACAGAUGUGAACAAGGUCCUUUCUUCCUUCCUUCUUUCCUUCCUUCUUUCCUUCCUUCCUUCCUUCCUUCCUUCCUUCCUUCCUUCCUUCUUUCUUUCUCUCUCUCUCUCUCUCUCUCUCUCUUCCUUUCUUUGAACACAGUGAAUUUCUUUUUUAAUUUCGUUCCUCUAUUUUGGGAUCCCAAGUAUUGUUGGAUUCUUUUACAUCUUCAUGAAAAUCCUGUUUCAAUGCCAUGUUAUCUUAUCUAGAUCAUGAACAAAAUAUUGAAUAUUUUCAAUUUGUUUUACAAAUUUCAAAACUAACAUUCAAACCUUUUAAACAGCAAAAAUGUGAGAGCCAUAGCAUUCACAUAUUUAUAUUCUGAAGGUUCUAAACCUUCAUUAAAGAAACAUUUGAAAAAAAAUACUACAUAUCUAUAUCUGUCUAUAUAUCUAUCUUUCUGUUUUUACCUAGAGGUUAUUAGUGAGGAAAAUGCAACAGCAGAUUAACAUUGUGUUAAACUGACCUCGACCACAAUUUGUCUUACAAAUUCCAAAACUGUAACUUUCAAACCCGUUAAAUAGGAAAAAUAUGACAGCCAUGUCAUUCACGUGUUUAUAAUUUGAAGGUUCUAAACCUUCAUUAAAAGACAUAACAUUUGAAAAAAUACUACAUCUGUCUAUGUAUCUAAUC
Molecule: long non-coding RNA, 4095 nt
Organism: Rhinolophus ferrumequinum (greater horseshoe bat)
Lineage: Eukaryota; Metazoa; Chordata; Mammalia; Chiroptera; Rhinolophidae
Exons: 11
Source: RefSeq, a predicted model, not a curated record